AUUCAAGGGGUGCCCGUUAAUUGCGGGCUGAGAUGAUACCCUCUAACCUGAUUCGGACAAUACCGACGUAGGGAUGGAUAGCA
Molecule: non-coding RNA, 83 nt
Filed under: uncultured Prevotella sp.
Lineage: Bacteria; Pseudomonadati; Bacteroidota; Bacteroidia; Bacteroidales; Prevotellaceae
Description: TPP riboswitch (THI element)
Rfam family: TPP riboswitch aptamer (THI element)
About the family: Vitamin B(1) in its active form thiamin pyrophosphate (TPP) is an essential coenzyme that is synthesised by coupling of pyrimidine and thiazole moieties in bacteria. The previously detected thiamin-regulatory element, thi box was extended, resulting in a new, highly conserved RNA secondary structure, the THI element, which is widely distributed in eubacteria and also occurs in some archaea. Analysis of operon structures identified a large number of new candidate thiamin-regulated genes, mostly transporters, in various prokaryotic organisms.
Source: RNAcentral